This is a long non-coding RNA of Eurytemora carolleeae, 667 nucleotides long. RefSeq lists it as uncharacterized. The transcript has 2 exons. NCBI's taxonomy places the organism in Eukaryota, Metazoa, Arthropoda, Copepoda, Calanoida, Temoridae. The record is from RefSeq and is a predicted model, not a curated record.
CUUGAUAGUUCGGUUUGUUAGGAGUGCUCCAGGGGUUGGUCUCAGCUCAGUGAGGAGGAUAAAGACGCAUACAAGGAUAGAGCUGCCCAGGAUAAGAUUAGAUAUAAAAAAGAGAAGAAAGCGUAUGACAAGAUAAAGAGAAAGAUAAAAAAGGACGGAUUCGACUUUGUGGAGGAUACAGAUUCGGAGGAGGAGAAGGCCGAAGAGGAGGACCAGGAGAAGGAGGAUCAGGAGAAGAAGAAGGUUGUUAUGGAAGAAACUAAUGAUAAUCUUGAAUAAGAUGCAGAGGAGAACAGACAUGAGGACGUAAAUGAACUAAUGAACCCCAGUCAAAUGUUCAUAAAAUCUGUUAUUGUUUAAAGCCUUCUACCUAAAUGCAGUUUAAAGCAAUUAGUCAAAUAAUUUAUUUAUUUUUGUUACUUUUGAAAUCGACGAUAGAUUUUUUAUCAAUAAAUAUUUUUCAUUGAAAACGAACCGAGUUUUUGUGUUUUAUGAAACAUAAUUCUUUUUAAGACAACCAAUUCCAUGAUUUGUUUGCUAUUGUUGACAUAAUAAUAAUUGGUAGAUAAAAACAUUCAUCAAUGGUAUUUUAUUUAAAAUUCACCGUUAGUCACCUGUUUGAGUAAGUUGUAGUUGAAAUUUUGAAGUGAAUAAACGUUUAACGAGG